This 109-nucleotide non-coding RNA is filed under the name Stenotrophomonas sp. CC22-02. The record is from RNAcentral. Lineage: Bacteria; Pseudomonadati; Pseudomonadota; Gammaproteobacteria; Lysobacterales; Lysobacteraceae.
UGCUUUGGCGGACGGUGCGUGGGGAUUCAUCAGAAUCCGCUGGAGUCUUUUUCCUCGCGCUUGAGUUGUUGGGUCUCCGGUACGCCAACCCGCACCGUCCGCCACCCCG